RNA transcript from Hordeum vulgare subsp. vulgare (domesticated barley), 1991 nucleotides. It is a transcript of the gene named neuroguidin-like, with no coding region annotated. The record is from RefSeq and is a predicted model, not a curated record. The transcript is spliced from 6 exons. NCBI's taxonomy places the organism in Eukaryota, Viridiplantae, Streptophyta, Magnoliopsida, Poales, Poaceae.
CUCCGGCUGCGCUUCCCUAGCGGCUCGGCGUCCCGGCGACCAUCUCCGAGGCGGCUUCUUUCUGUAGCAGCCAAGGAGAAGGCCGGCCCGGACAAAUUCUCGGACGCCGCUCCACUAAUCAAGGCCACCUUUCCUCACCGCCGUCGUCCGCUAAUCAAGGUUAGGAAGAAGCAGCUGCUGACAGGCGAUGGCAUUGGGUACCUGGAGGCAAAGCACCACCUGCUGCUGAGCUACUGCCAGGACCUCGUCUACUACCUGCUACGCAAGGCCAAGGGGCUGUCCGUUGACGGCCACCCCGUUGUGCGCAGCCUUGUCAAGAUCAGGCUGUUUCUUGAGAAGAUUCGCCCGAUAGACAAGAAGAUGGAGUACCAGAUCCAGAAGCUCACCUGCAGAUGGUGCAGCUGCCCAGGAUAAGCCACACACACCAGGCAAAGAUGGUAUCUACGUUCCUCCGAAAAUUGGGCCAGCUACCAUGGAUGAUCAUCAUAGCAAAGAAGCUGUAAGGAAAGAGAAAAGAUUAUUACGUAUGGCAACAGAGAAUCCUUACUUCAAGGGGACGACUGCUGCUGCUGAUGGACCAGAGGAGGAUUCUACAUUCUGUCAGGAUGAACGUUGUACAUGUUGUUGUUUGACCUCGCCGAGGUCGCCCUCUUGCAGUUGCCUAGCCCGGAGAAGGUCGUCUUUGUCUCCAUAGUCGCCGUCAUCAUGUCCUUCACCUAAUCCUUCAUCGUGCUCUUCCCGAGUGCCUUAACCUGCGCGUGAGGAGAGACCGGCGGUGGCGUGUGUCGGCCAGCGGCGGAGCGAAGGAGCCGCAGGCGGUGACCUGUGUGUAAGGAGAGAUCAAUGGGCGGCAGGUGCGGGGUUGACGCGGAUGUGGAUAAAGAAGCAAGGGAGCGGUGACGAUGGAGGAGGAGGUAGGAGCGUGUGGCAUAGGAGUGUCUAGCAGGCGUCGGUCGCGGGUUUAGAAUUUCGUCCGGCCCCUCAAAUUGGUAAUGUACCUUUGUCUUGAUUUAUUAGUCCUCUUUAUAUUAUCAUAUUUUUACUAUGAUUCUAGCCAAUAAAAUAUAAAUUAUUUUGUCAGAAAAAAUAAUAAUAUUGUCAGUGUUGAACGAUAUAAUUUUCCGUGAGGAAGAGGAUGUCAUAAUUUAAAAAAUGAGGCAUUAUUGCCUCAGGUUCUACUGUCAGUAGUAGUUAAAGCACUGUGCAUGAACGCACGCUAAUAAUGUCGGCCUUAGGCUGGCCAUAGUGAGAGUAACUCAGGUAGUAUCAUGUUCUUGGAACUAGCAAACAUGCUGAUGUGGCAGACAAUUAAAGAAGAGAGGAGGUUAUAGUAACAUAGGCAGAUACCAUAACGUUCAUGGAGUGCAGGGUGGAUGCGACGGUGGUGGUGGCGGCGAGGAGGCAGAGGCAUUCGUCGUUGACGGGGCAGGCGGUGAGCUGGCCGCGGCGACUUGAAUAUCGCACCGCGAACCUCGCGCCGGCUGGCUGGGUGCUCCCCGCGCCGGCACCUGCUCUGGGAAGAGCGGGAGUGAUGGUGGGGAAGUGGCCGCCGCGUCCCCGGGUGCCCGCCGCCCUCCCCGCGCACAUGGUCGACAUCAGCCCCCCAGCGCUGAAGGAGUAGGAGGGGAUGUGGAGGUCCUCAAAAUCCAUCGACUUGGCUUGCGUUGGGCACAAAGUCAAAGAAUAAGGGUGGUGGCAAGAAAAAGAAAGGCAAGAAAGGAGAUGCAGCAGAGCCCGUAUGGAGGUUUCUCAGGACGCACCAAGCCAGGAAUAAUUCGUUUUUUUCUUCUUCUUUGAAUUGCUUUUGUUACGUUUGUACCUGCUCCUUUGCUGCAUCUGAUUGUGUUAUAUUACAUUCAGCUGCGGGAAUUUGAGUACCUUCUUUUGAGUGUCUAAUGAAAAUGAUCGAUCCUGCCACACAUCACGUGGAACACAAGCCUGAUAAUUAUGUAUGGUGUGCUGAAUGUUUACCUGUCAGUUCUGCUUAUAAA